UGACACAUCUAGGAAGAGGGAACCUC
Molecule: non-coding RNA, 26 nt
Filed under: Cricetulus griseus (Chinese hamster)
Lineage: Eukaryota; Metazoa; Chordata; Mammalia; Rodentia; Cricetidae
Source: RNAcentral